UAGGGAAGAAGCGAAAGUGACGGUACCUGCAGAAGAAGCGCCGGCUAACUACGUGCCAGCAGCCGCGGUAAUACGUAGGGCGCAAGCGUUAUCCGGAAUUAUUGGGCGUAAAGAGCUCGUAGGCGGUUUGUCGCGUCUGCCGUGAAAGUCCGGGGCUCAACUCCGGAUCUGCGGUGGGUACGGGCAGGCUAGAGUGAUGUAGGGGAGACUGGAAUUCCUGGUGUAGCGGUGAAAUGCGCAGAUAUCAGGAGGAACACCGAUGGCGAAGGCAGGUCUCUGGGCAUUAACUGACGCUGAGGAGCGAAAGCAUGGGGAGCGAACAGGAUUAGAUACCCUGGUAGUCCAUGCCGUAAACGUUGGGCACUAGGUGUGGGGGACAUUCCACGUUUUCCGCGCCGUAGCUAACGCAUUAAGUGCCCCGCCUGGGGAGUACGGCCGCAAGGCUAAAACUCAAAGGAAUUGACGGGGGCCCGCACAAGCGGCGGAGCAUGCGGAUUAAUUCGAUGCAACGCGAAGAACCUUACCAAGGCUUGACAUGGACCGGACCGCCGCAGAGAUGUGGUUUCUCCUUUUGGGGCCGGUUCACAGGUGGUGCAUGGUUGUCGUCAGCUCGUGUCGUG
This 620-nucleotide ribosomal RNA is filed under the name uncultured Arthrobacter sp. RNAcentral's name for it is "bacterial SSU rRNA". It matches the Rfam family "Bacterial small subunit ribosomal RNA", at positions 440 to 1069 of the family's 1533-position model. The record is from RNAcentral. Lineage: Bacteria; Bacillati; Actinomycetota; Actinomycetes; Micrococcales; Micrococcaceae.